Non-coding RNA from Populus trichocarpa (black cottonwood), 118 nucleotides. The record is from Rfam. Lineage: Eukaryota; Viridiplantae; Streptophyta; Magnoliopsida; Malpighiales; Salicaceae.
UAAUUUAUCUAGGGAAAAUCUUCAUCUAGUUAUGGCAGAUUCACACCUGACUGCUUAGAAUCACUAAUUAUUAUAGGAUUGACUACAUCAAAAUUGGUCGGUUUUUUUUGUUUUCAAA